AGCUCAAAUUUGAAAGCUGGUACCUUCGGUAUCCGCGUUGUAACCUCGAGACACGUUUUCCGUGCGGCGCUAUGGACAAGUUCCUUGGAACAGGACAUCGUAGAGGGUGAAAAUCCCGUACUUGCCAUGGAUGUACCGUGCUUUGCGAUACGUGCUCUAAGAGUCGAGUUGUUUGGGAUUGCAGCUCAAAAUGGGUGGUAGACUCCAUCUAAAGCUAAAUAUCGGGGAGAGACCGAUAGCGAACAAGUACCGUGAGGGAAAGAUGAAAAGCACUUUGGAAAGAGAGUUAAAAGUACGUGAAAUUGUCGAAAGGGAAGCGCUUGAAGUCAGCCAUGCCGCUCAGGACUCAGCCUGGCUUUUGCUUGGUGUAUUUCCUGGGUAGCAAGUCAGCAUUGGUUUGGAUCGUCGGAGAAGCAUAGUCGGAAUGUGGCGCCCUCGGGCGUGUUAUAGCCUUCUAUUGGAUACGACGAUCUAGACCAAGGAACGCAGCGCGCCUUAUGGCGGGUCUUCGGACACCUUCGCGCUUAGGAUGCUGGCGUAAUGGCUUUAAGUGGCCCGUCUU
RNAcentral lists this ribosomal RNA (562 nucleotides) under Malassezia furfur. Its description in RNAcentral is "eukaryotic LSU rRNA". It matches the Rfam family "Eukaryotic large subunit ribosomal RNA", at positions 106 to 655 of the family's 3401-position model. The record is from RNAcentral. Lineage: Eukaryota; Fungi; Basidiomycota; Malasseziomycetes; Malasseziales; Malasseziaceae.